This is a long non-coding RNA of Hippocampus comes (tiger tail seahorse), 175 nucleotides long. RefSeq lists it as uncharacterized. NCBI's taxonomy places the organism in Eukaryota, Metazoa, Chordata, Actinopteri, Syngnathiformes, Syngnathidae. The record is from RefSeq and is a predicted model, not a curated record. The transcript is spliced from 2 exons.
GGCAACCCGGACCCGGAUAUCUCCUGGUUUAAAGACUUCCUCCCCGUCAAUACCACCAACAACAACGGCCGCAUUAAACAGCUGCGAUCAGGUGGUACGCCAAUAAGAGGUAAGCGUGCUGAACUGACGCCUCACAGAAUGAAAAAAAAAAACAAAAAAAAAAAACAAAAAGCAA